UGAGGAAUAUUGGUCAAUGGUCGGGAGACUGAACCAGCCAAGCCGCGUGAGGGAGGAAGGUACAGAGUAUCGUAAACCUCUUUUGUCAGGGAACAAAGGCGGGGACGUGUCCCCGGAUGAGUGUACCUGAAGAAAAAGCAUCGGCUAACUCCGUGCCAGCAGCCGCGGUAAUACGGAGGAUGCGAGCGUUAUCCGGAUUUAUUGGGUUUAAAGGGUGCGUAGGCGGACGCUUAAGUCAGCGGUAAAAUUGCGGGGCUCAACCUCGUCGAGCCGUUGAAACUGGCAGUCUCGAGUUGGAGAGAAGUAUGCGGAAUGCGCGGUGUAGCGGUGAAAUGCAUAGAUAUCGCGCAGAACCCCGAUUGCGAAGGCAGCCUGCCGGCCCCACACUGACGCUGAGGCACGAAAGCGUGGGUAUCGAACAGG
This 423-nucleotide ribosomal RNA is filed under the name uncultured bacterium. RNAcentral describes it as "bacterial SSU rRNA". It matches the Rfam family "Bacterial small subunit ribosomal RNA", at positions 355 to 776 of the family's 1533-position model. The record is from RNAcentral.